Molecule: long non-coding RNA, 1232 nt
Filed under: Triticum aestivum (bread wheat)
Lineage: Eukaryota; Viridiplantae; Streptophyta; Magnoliopsida; Poales; Poaceae
Description: long non-coding RNA (TAES_LNC028497)
Source: RNAcentral
UUUCACAUGACAAUUCUACCAGAUGUUGUAUGCUAUUCUUUUUAUUCUUUUUCCUCGUAGGCCCUAGUGUAUACUUUAUAAAAAAUCUCUGUGAUAAGAAAUCCUUACAGGUUUGCUUCAAAAAGAAAAUAAAAAACAAUUCUACAAGGCCAUUUACUAGCCAUAUAAAUCCAGCAACAGAAACACAUACUAUGAUAGUUUGAUUUUGCUAACCUACACAAUGUCCAGUCUCUAAUGGCUUGAUUCAGCUAACCUGCACACACGCACACACACAAAAAACUUAGUUCAGAUAUGCAGCUUUAAAUGAAAUACAAGCUCACAGUGGAUCAAACUUAAGCCACAAUGAUUUCGCAAAAGUAAUAAUAACCACAUUGGUUAAAUUCUGUGGGUUGAGUUUCCAGGCCUUCUGGGUCUCCUUAACAGCAGGUCUUCACUUCUCCCCACUUGGUCUGGUCUUGAAAAAGAAAAGGUUAAGUCAACCAUAUGAUUUAUUUAUUGCUCAAUGCUAAUAACACAGUUAUGAAUCCAAGUCCCACCCCUCUCACUUUCUAUAAUUAUGAAAUGCUCUACACUUUUACUGUCUUACACAGAAUUUACGAUGACUUCAAGCAGUAAAUGAUCUACCUCAUGACCCGUUGCGUGAUGUAAAUAGGGUGAUAAUAAUCAGCUCUCCCUCUCUCUCUUUUCGUACUUUGGAGCUUAAAGGCAUUCACAAACCUGGGGAACAACGAAACAGAGCACUCUGUACUUGUGCAGGGAUAAGUCUGCAAAAAAAAAGUCUGCGAGAGUACAAGGCAGACGCACACAUCAUCACCACCGGAAAUAAUGAACACGCGCUGGAAAUUAUAUAUGAACUUUGGUGGGGGCAGGAACAGUAUAGACUGAACAAAAAAAAAUUGGUGCGGCCUACUUCAAGAGAAAAUGGCGAGAAGUUUCCUGAUGAAUGGAUUGGAAAACAAUGUCGUGUCAAUACCCACAUUGAAUCUUUUGCUUCAGAAAGUGGACACUUUGAGACUUGAGAGCAACAGAAAGUGAACACGCUAGUGACACAGAGAGGACAAUGAAGUCAAAACUGAAGAAAAAGCAGGCAGAGAGGAAGAAAGUGACACCUCUCCCCUCUGUGACUAAAUCAGCCAAAAUGCCACCUGGGUUACUAGCCUCGGCCUGCUGAAUUCAGCUGCUUCUGCUACCUUCCAAACCACUGCCACGUUCGAAACCGAACCGAAGAAAUG